CCCUUAGAUGUUCUGGGCUGCACGCGCGCUACACUGGUGCGUUCAGCGAGUUUAGCACCUUAACAGAUAUGUUUGGGUAAUCUUCUGAAAACGCACCGUGAUGGGGAUCGAUUAUUGUAAUUAUUAAUCGUCAACGAGGAAUUCCUAGUAAGUGUGAAUCAUCAGUUCGCGCUGAUUACGUCCCUGCCCUUUGUACACACCGCCCGUCGCUGCUACCGAUGGGUGAUCCGGUGAAUGAUUCGGACUUCAGCGGCUCCCCUGGGGUGCGCCGGAGAAAGUUUUGUGAACCUUAUCACUUGGAGGAAGGAGAAGUCGUAACA
This 320-nucleotide ribosomal RNA is filed under the name uncultured eukaryote. Its description in RNAcentral is "partial 18S ribosomal RNA". It matches the Rfam family "Eukaryotic small subunit ribosomal RNA", at positions 1470 to 1796 of the family's 1831-position model. The record is from RNAcentral.